Delphinapterus leucas (beluga whale) is the source of this 630-nucleotide non-coding RNA. The record is from RefSeq and is a predicted model, not a curated record. NCBI's taxonomy places the organism in Eukaryota, Metazoa, Chordata, Mammalia, Artiodactyla, Monodontidae.
UACUGAAUAGGGAUGAGAGUGAAAUGGGGAAAUUUGAGACUCCUGGAAGAUAAUUCUGCCUGAAACCAGCAGGAUUUACAGAACCUAAAAAUGAGUCGGUUUAGUGGGGACUGAGAAGGUGAGAGAGAACCGCGGGACAUAAAGAGAUUGGCUUCUCUCCUGGUGCUUUCUCUGCUUGUGACCUGGUUCAGCCAUUCCUAUGCCAGAAGUUCUCCAAUUGUCCUUGGAAGACUUGGCUUCACACGUAAUCUAAGGCUGAAGCACAGUUUGCAAUGCUUAUAUAUGGCUGUUUGUAGCAGAUGGUCUCAGAAACUGGACAGGCAGAGUUCUAAGGCCUGGGAACCAUUCCUGACAGUGUGAAAGCUAAGAAGUUUUCACACUGAAGACUCCGUUGUCUACUAAAAGGAUUCCAACUAUUCUAAACCACACUCUACUGCUUCCCUGUCCCCAGCCUACCCAAGAUAAAACCUGGGCUUGACAGAAGGACUUUGGUAAGACUCAAUGAAGAAAAGGGCUACUAAGUGGCAGAACCAAGAUUCAAGUGAAGGCAGCAUGGUACCUGAUGUAUAUUUUCUCUACAUUUUAGAUUGUCGAAAUAUUUUAUAAUUACACAUAAUUUUUUAAAAUUUA